GCUAGUCCCUCUGUCACUCCAAAGAAGUACAUGUCUUCUUCUCCAGAACUUGUGAAUAUGUUACGUUACAUGGCUAAGGGAAUUCAGGUAGCAGAUGGAAGCAAGGUUGCCAAUCAGCUGAUGUUAAAAUGAGAAGAUUAUCCUGGAUUUUCUGGGUCCCUGCAACUGAUGCACCCUUUACUUUAAGAGAAUAGGAGGACAUCAUGUUCAUAAAGAAACCUUGGAUCUCGAACAUACCUAAAAAGCAGCUUAAAGUCCUUGGAGCAAACAGUACAGCUGAGAAAUGUUACACCAGUUGGGUGUCAAUCCAUAAAACCCGUUCUAGAGAAAAUCGUGGAGAUGUUUAAAGACAUGAAGCCAAAGACAAAUUUUUCAACCAGAACCCUCAAGAAAUGUCAUUUCUGUGUCUUGCCAAGAGAGAUCCAGCAUUUUUUCUACAUAAACAUCUGCUGGAAACAUUUUAAAGGGAGGC
Molecule: long non-coding RNA, 472 nt
Organism: Gorilla gorilla gorilla (western lowland gorilla)
Lineage: Eukaryota; Metazoa; Chordata; Mammalia; Primates; Hominidae
Exons: 3
Source: RefSeq, a predicted model, not a curated record